Molecule: ribosomal RNA, 428 nt
Filed under: uncultured bacterium
Lineage: Bacteria
Description: bacterial SSU rRNA
Rfam family: Bacterial small subunit ribosomal RNA
Source: RNAcentral
AACUAACGCUGGCGGCGCGCCUUAAACAUGCAAGUCGAACGGUAGUCCUUGAGCUUGCUUAGGGAUGAGAGUGGCGAACGGGUGAGUAACACGUGGAUAAUCUGCCUCCGGGUUGGGGAUAACUGUCCGAAAGGAUAGCUAAUACCGAAUGAGAUGGUGGUUACACAAGUAGCAGCCAUUAAAGGUGGGGACCGCAAGGCCUACUGCCUGGAGAUGAGUCCGCGGCUGAUUAGCUUGUUGGUGGGGUAACGGCCUACCAAGGCGACGAUCAGUAGCCGGCCUGAGAGGGUGAACGGCCACAUUGGGACUGAGAUACGGCCCAGACUCCUACGGGAGGCAGCAGUUAAGAAUCUUGCACAAUGGGCGCAAGCCUGAUGCAGCGACGCCGCGUGAAUGAUGAAGGCUUUCGGGUUGUAAAGUUCAGUAAG